RNAcentral lists this ribosomal RNA (119 nucleotides) under Labrus bergylta (ballan wrasse). Lineage: Eukaryota; Metazoa; Chordata; Actinopteri; Labriformes; Labridae. The record is from RNAcentral.
CUUUAAUGUCAUAGCACCCUGAACAUGUUCCAUCUCGUCAGGUCUCAGAAGCGAAGCAGGGUCGGGCCUGGCUAUUACUUGAAAGGGAGACUUACUGGUAAUGCAAGGAGCUGUAAGCU